UUUAGCCUACGGGGCGCAGCAGUAGGGAAUCUUCGGCAAUGGACGACAGUCUGACCGAGCAACGCCGCGUGAGUGAAGAAGGUUUUCGGAUCGUAAAACUCUGUUGGUAGAGAAGAACGUUGGUGAGAGUGGAAAGCUCAUCAAGUGACGGUAACUACCCAGAAAGGGACGGCUAACUACGUGCCAGCAGCCGCGGUAAUACGUAGGACCCGAGCGUUGUCCGGAUUUAUUGGGCGUAAAGCGAGCGCAGGUGGUUUAUUAAGUCUAGUGUAAAAGGCAGUGGCUCAACCAUUGUA
Molecule: ribosomal RNA, 296 nt
Filed under: uncultured bacterium
Lineage: Bacteria
Description: partial 16S ribosomal RNA
Rfam family: Bacterial small subunit ribosomal RNA
Source: RNAcentral